UACGUAGGGUGCAAGCGUUGUCCGGAAUUAUUGGGCGUAAAGAGCUCGUAGGCGGUUCGUCGCGUCGGCUGUGAAAACCCGGAGCUCAACUCCGGGCCUGCAGUCGAUACGGGCGGACUUGAGUGUUGCAGGGGAGACUGGAAUUCCUGGUGUAGCGGUGGAAUGCGCAGAUAUCAGGAAGAACACCGGUGGCGAAGGCGGCUCUCUGGGCCUUACCUGACGCUGAGGAGCGAAAGCGUGGGUAGCGAACAGG
RNAcentral lists this ribosomal RNA (253 nucleotides) under uncultured bacterium. RNAcentral describes it as "partial 16S ribosomal RNA". It matches the Rfam family "Bacterial small subunit ribosomal RNA", at positions 524 to 776 of the family's 1533-position model. The record is from RNAcentral.